AGUUAAGACAGAGAACAAGAAACAACUUAAAUUAAAUACCGGACGUAUUGGACACGAGGAAAACACAAACAUGUUUUCAGGGUUUUUCGCCGCAAUGUUGGUGAUUGUUAUCAUCAUCGUAAUUUUAAUAUGUACCGCCUUGACCAAUGUAUCGGACUUCAAUGGCAAAUACAAAAAUGUCUUUAAAUGGAAUAAAAAAAAACAACAAGCUGAAAUUGUGACAGACUAUUAUCAAAAAGGCUUUAAUGAAAAAUAUUCCAAAAACUUUAGCCAUCAAGGAGAAAAUAUCCCCUGGAUUAUUUCAAUUUUACUUGUUUUACUUGAUUUACUUAAUAAAUAUUUGGUGGAAAAUGGCUAUAUCUCGGUAGCAAAAAGGAUUGUGAAGAAAAAGAGAAACAAAUUUCAACGAGCUCUAAAAUUCACCUAUACAAAUUCUCCAAAAAUAAUAUUCGGCGUUGGUGUUGGACUAUUACACGUCCUCACUUGUUUGGCCUCUUUUUAAAUAAAUUUAUUAAUAAUGAAGUUUUAUAUCUAAACAUACAUACAUAUAUUUUAUUCAACAUUUAUUUUGUAUUUUUUUUUUUUGUUUAAUUAAAACAGAGCAAUAACUAAAAACUA
Calliphora vicina (urban bluebottle blowfly) is the source of this 618-nucleotide long non-coding RNA. RefSeq lists it as uncharacterized. The record is from RefSeq and is a predicted model, not a curated record. The transcript has 3 exons. Lineage: Eukaryota; Metazoa; Arthropoda; Insecta; Diptera; Calliphoridae.